Molecule: long non-coding RNA, 2129 nt
Organism: Alligator mississippiensis (American alligator)
Lineage: Eukaryota; Metazoa; Chordata; Crocodylia; Alligatoridae
Exons: 3
Source: RefSeq, a predicted model, not a curated record
GCUAGCAGCCAAGGGGAGAACAUUGCCCCGCUGGAGCUGUUGCUCAUGUAACAGUUUGGAGGUCUUGGUGAUGAUACUAUAAACUUUGGUACAACAGAGAAGUGUAACACUUGGUGCUCCAAUCAAAACAGUGCCUCCCAGUGCUCGCUAUACAGAUGCUGGCAGCGACGUGGUACCACAAGAAGACGCUGUGAAUUACAUAAGGGCCCCUGCUGCCAAGAACAAGCAUACGGCCUCUUUGGCUCUGCCAGUGAUGAAAUUCUCAGCUGUCAGCUGCUGCAAUUCACAGGUACAGAUCUCAACCAGUUACAAAGCAGGACCCCACUGGCUUUGGCCCUAUUCCCUGGCCUUUCUCCACAGUGUAAGGAACAAUGCAAAUAUCAAAGCAGUGAGGUAAUGGGCAGAGGUAACACAUCAGCUCAGUCAAGGCUGACAUCACCACCUCUGUCUGCAUUUGUUCUUCAAAUGGGUCAGGUACCUAGUGGCUGUAAAUCAGCAUUCAGUGCUGCUGAAGUGGCCUACACCAGCUGAAGAUCUAACCCUUAAUCCCUAUAUGCAAGAAGAAUUUAGUUCCUUAUGUGUGGCCUCAGCCCUUGUAUCUCAUCACUGAGAUUAACGUUAAGGAAAUCCUUUGGUAAGAAGUGAACUACCUCUUUUGCCACCAGCUGCUGAGAGAGAUCUGGGCAAUUGCCUGCAGAUAUGACGAGCCUUAUAAGUACGGGAGAGACCUUUUUGCUAAGACUUACUCCAUCUUGACCAGAAAAAGACAAUUAACAAUGCCAGCCCCACUCCUACACACUUUCCUGUCAACACCCUCCACCUACGACUCAUGUGACAGAUGCCACUCACUCUGCCUCUGAGAGCCUUGUGGUUUGGUUAAUUGUGUUUGAUGGUUUCCUUUACUUACUGACCAAGUAAGUUGUCAUAUCUGCAAAGGUUGACACUGUGAUUACUCAGAAACAGGCUUUGGGCCUUCUGCUUAGCAGCACUCUUGUAGCUUUGCCUAGGUCCCUUGAAAAUGGACGAAGCUGGCAACAACUCCUGAACUGAGUUGUGUUCUCCCAGCUCAGUCAAGGUGUAUGCUCAAGAGGAGGGCAGAGAAAGUGCUUCAAGGAUGUCCUCAAGGCCAACUUGAAAAAAUGCAGCAUUGAUAUCAACUCAUGGGAAACUAGUGCCCAGGAACGUCCCAAAUGGAGUAAGUCUGCUGCAGGGAUUUCAGUACUUUGAAACUUUAUGAUGACAACAGGAGAUGGAAAAGUGGGAGCAGGAGAAACAGCAUCUUGUGGACCAAAUCAAGAAUCCGGAGCCAUCCACCCCACACAGAAAUACAUGCCCGAGUUGCAGCAGAGUCUAUUGAUCCCGAGUCAGCCAUGUCAGCCAUCUUCAGACCCACAGAUUAGACAAUCAUGGAAGACAAUUAUCCUCAACUACAAGUGACUGCCAAACUUCAGAGAAAGUGAACGCACAGCAGUUUAUUUGAUUAAUUGUAUACAUUUACAGUCAGUAGAUCCUAUCACUGAGAAAAGGUUUCCCAAGAGAACCUCUGUUACAGAUAGUGAAGAAGCAUGUAACAGGCAUUUCAUGAGUAUACUUUUAAACUAACAGUAAGGAGAGGCAAACCUUUGCAUAGUGCUAACAUUCAGCACUUGUCUAUUCUUGAAAGUUAAUUCAGAUUAAGCCAGAUUAAGCUUCAUGCGCUGGCAACCUCUCGCUUAUGUAUUUGCAGACUUUUAACCAGCACUCCAUGUAUCAUUUGGCAAUAACCUGAUUCCAGAAGUAGAAGACUGUGUUAGCUAAUCCUGGGUUAAUCCUGGGACAUUACAAAUGCCAAUCCACAAUGACUGCAUCCAGGUUAACCUCACACAUGACCCAGAAGGAGUGUGCAAAGAGUGAGGAAACAGGAAACUAAUAGUUCAAUCAGUGAUAAUUCUUCCUUCUUUCCAAAUCCUGUGGUUUGUGUAUCUUUCCUUAACUUUAUUAUUCUUCCCCUAAAAUCAGCCCUCUCAUUUUCUGUCCAAGGUCUCUGCCCAGGGACCUUUCAGGACACCAAAUAGAAGUGCUUCAAAUGACUAGAAAGAACAUAGCAGCCUAAUCAGAAUAUUUAGUGAACAAACAAAAUCAGGUUUCAA